RNAcentral lists this ribosomal RNA (1186 nucleotides) under Salmonella enterica. RNAcentral's name for it is "bacterial LSU rRNA". It matches the Rfam family "Bacterial large subunit ribosomal RNA", at positions 1 to 1219 of the family's 2925-position model. The record is from RNAcentral. Lineage: Bacteria; Pseudomonadati; Pseudomonadota; Gammaproteobacteria; Enterobacterales; Enterobacteriaceae.
GGGUUGUGAGGUUAAGCGACUAAGCGUACACGGUGGAUGCCCUGGCAGUCAGAGGCGAUGAAGGGCGUGCUAAUCUGCGAUAAGCGCCGGUAAGGUGAUAUGAACCGUUAUAACCGGCGAUACCCGAAUGGGGAAACCCAGUGUGAUUCGUCACACUAUCAUUAACUGAAUCCAUAGGUUAAUGAGGCGAACCGGGGGAACUGAAACAUCUAAGUACCCCGAGGAAAAGAAAUCAACCGAGAUUCCCCCAGUAGCGGCGAGCGAACGGGGAGGAGCCCAGAGCCUGAAUCAGCAUGUGUGUUAGUGGAAGCGUCUGGAAAGGCGCGCGAUACAGGGUGACAGCCCCGUACACAAAAGCGUAUGUGCUGUGAGCUCGAUGAGUAGGGCGGGACACGUGGUAUCCUGUCUGAAUAUGGGGGGACCAUCCUCCAAGGCUAAAUACUCCUGACUGACCGAUAGUGAACCAGUACCGUGAGGGAAAGGCGAAAAGAACCCCGGCGAGGGGAGUGAAAAAGAACCUGAAACCGUGUACGUACAAGCAGUGGGAGCACCCUUUGGGGUGUGACUGCGUACCUUUUGUAUAAUGGGUCAGCGACUUAUAUUCUGUAGCAAGGUUAACCGAAUAGGGGAGCCGGAGGGAAACCGAGUCUUAAUUGGGCGUUAAGUUGCAGGGUAUAGACCCGAAACCCGGUGAUCUAGCCAUGGGCAGGUUGAAGGUUGGGUAACACUAACUGGAGGACCGAACCGACUAAUGUUGAAAAAUUAGCGGAUGACCUGUGGCUGGGGGUGAAAGGCCAAUCAAACCGGGAGAUAGCUGGUUCUCCCCGAAAGCUAUUUAGGUAGCGCCUCGUGAAUUCAUCUCCGGGGGUAGAGCACUGUUUCGGCUAGGGGGUCAUCCCGACUUACCAACCCGAUGCAAACUGCGAAUACCGGAGAAUGUUAUCACGGGAGACACACGGCGGGUGCUAACGUCCGUCGUGAAGAGGGAAACAACCCAGACCGCCAGCUAAGGUCCCAAAGUCAUGGUUAAGUGGGAAACGAUGUGGGAAGGCACAGACAGCCAGGAUGUUGGCUUAGAAGCAGCCAUCAUUUAAAGAAAGCGUAAUAGCUCACUGGUCGAGUCGGCCUGCGCGGAAGAUGUAACGGGGCUAAACCAUGCACCGAAGCUGCGGCAGCGACACUCAGG